Molecule: long non-coding RNA, 5465 nt
Filed under: Carica papaya (papaya)
Lineage: Eukaryota; Viridiplantae; Streptophyta; Magnoliopsida; Brassicales; Caricaceae
Description: long non-coding RNA (CPAP_LNC004665)
Source: RNAcentral
GUAACUAUAACGAUCCCGGAAAUUUGAAGGAAAUGUAUAUAAAAUUUCUAAGUGCAGAUGCGAAAUAAAAUAGAUUAUGGUUUACAUCACUUACACAAUAAUCAAAACGUAUUAAACGUAUGAAAGAAUAAGCUAACUAAAGUAAAUACUAGAAAUGAAUACUAUAAAGAAAACUAUAAAAUCUUUAGGCAUCUACUCGCCGUCUUCUUGCGGAACGGGCUCGAAAACCAAGUUCUCCUGAUCUGAAAUGGUUAAGUAAGAAAUGAGUUGCACUAGUCCAGUAAAGAUGUCACACUAUCUCAUUAUCACAGAAUUAAAGAUUUGUAGAAAACAAAAAUGACAAAUGGAGCAUAAUUUAUAACAAAUUUAUUUAUCAAUAAUAAAACUCUUUACUUUCCACUUACCUCGGUGAGAUUCAUGAAAACAACUUAUGAAAAUAAUAACACUAUAAUAUCAGGAAAUCAUACGCACUCUGUAACAUAACACAUGUCAAACUUUUAAUAUUUCAAUCAUCAAGCAACAAAUUUCCUCUUUUACCAGCUUACCAGUAUCCAUGGGGAUCCAUAGGGAUCCCCGCUACACGUAAACCAUUCACCUUAAUAACUUAAUUCCAGGGCCAUCCCCAUACCCUGUCUGGUAUGCGCGCCCCAAAACCAUAAAUCUCAAUAUCCCGUCUGGUAUGAGGGUGAAGCAGGCUGUCCCCAUACCCUUUUCGGUAUGAGCACUAAAACAUUUAAAGUCUCCAUACCCCAUCUGGUAUGAGAGACAACAUUUUCGAUAGGGUUCCCUAUGGACCGGUCCGUCCACCACCUCUCAGGAUAUCUAGUAAGACUGUUGACUUAUCCAUUUAUCAACUCACAUACAUUUUCUAUUUUUUCUUAGUUUUCUGUUUCUCACAUAAUCAUAAAUAUUUAAACCAGUAACGAGCGUCCAACAAGGCAGACAUAUUAUCGGAUUCACAAAAUCAAACCACAAUGAAGUAAACAGUGAUUCAUGCAUUCAAAAUCAUAAAAUAAAUAGAUCAGAUACCAUAAUGCAUUUAAAACUGUAAAAUAACUAAAACAGUAACUGAUCGAAAAUAUAUCAGAUUCGGACUCCAUUAGCAACCUUAAUUAAUUAUACAUAUCCAUUAAUUCAUAAAGUACCGUUUUAUGAUUUAUUAAGCUUUAAUGUCGUGAUAGAAAAUAGAGUGAGAGAUCCUUACUUGAUUCGGAGUCUAAGACUAGUUUUUUUCACUGCGCCUACGGGCUGUCCCUAGAUUCCCUGAAUUUUUCUCCAGAAACUGAAAUACACUUUUAGUACCUACACGUGUCCCCAAAUAACUCAAAAUCAGACCAGAGCCUAGUCGGCCAAUUUCAGAAUUUUGGCAUGGCAGCUCUCCCGUGCUCCGACGUCGCGGCAGUGAUCCGCGUCGGGUUGGUCGUUUUCUGGCUGUUUUCUACCAAAUUCGUCCAAACUUGCAUUGGUUUCUGUGAUAAAACACACGUAGGGCCCUCGGUGGGCCAAAAAAUACAGAAAACUGAGACUGACCGGCUGCGGAGCUCUCGGGUGCAGCGGCUCCUUCGGCUCGAGUCGCGGUUUAGUGUUUUGCUCCUAUCAACCUGUAGAGGAAAGGACGAUGGUCACAGUGGUGAAAAAAUUAUAUCGAAUGGGAAUCGGGAAGGGCCUCAUCGGAGGCAAAAAUCGAAGAAACCCGAGGCGGUGGCGCUGGGCUUCGGCGACAUUUUUCGACCAAUUGGCCGGUGGUUUAGCUUCGAUUUGGCCACAGGUGGGUUAAGAAUCGAAGUCCGAGCCAAAGAAAAAAAUUUUACCUCGUUUGGUGGCUGGAAAGUGCUUCAGUGCAGCGGUGGGUGGCGGCGGUGGGUUCCUCCGGUGGCUGAGCUGUCUUUUUCGGCGAGGGCUCUGGCGGCUAGGGUUUGGGUUUGGGUGUGGAUGAAAUUAUUUAUAACCUUCUGCUUUUAAUCUGAGCCGUCUAUCGCGAUUUAAUCUGAACCGUCCGAUCGCGAUUAAAUUAAAAAUGAAUCUAGGCCGUCCAUCGCAAUGCGAUCUAGGCCGUCCGUGCGUGAUUCAAUCUGGGUCGUCCGCACGUGUGCAAUCUGGGCUGUCCGCACGUGCUUUUGAUCUGGGUCGUCCGUGCGCGCAGUAACAGAUCUCAACCGUCCGAUCGCGUGCACGCGGAUCGCCCAUGUAGCCCUGUUCCGUGUGGCCUCCCGCGUCAGCAUUUCUGCCACGCGGCGUGUCCUGGUUGGCCGGGGCUGCUGACGCGUAGCAAUUUUUUUAAAUUGCGUUUUAAUCCCCAAUUUUUGAUUUUCUUUUCAAAAAUACCCCUAAAAUCCGAAUUUUCACCCCUCUUUCCCAAAAUUAUUUUCAAUUAAAUCCUAAAAAUAAUUUUACCCAUUUUUAUGAUUAUUAUUAUUUUUAUUUCCAUUUAAUUAAAUUAAACUAAAUUAAAACUAUAUAUUAUUAAAUAAAUAAUUAUUUAAUUCAUAUAAAUUUACAAAAAAAAAAAUUAAAUUAAAACAAAUUAAUAUUCAUAAAAAAAUAAUAAUAAAUUUUUGGGGUGUUACAGUAACGGUCCCGGAAAUUCAAAAAAAAAUACAUAUAAUAAUCUGAGUGCGGAAGCGAAAUAAAAGAUUAAAGUUAACAUCCCUUACAUAAUAACUUAAAAGUACUAAACAAUAUCACAGAAUAAGUUCUCUAAAGAAAAUACGAGAAAUAAAAAAAUUAAAAGAAACUCGAAAGUAUCUAGUAUCUACUCGUUGUUUUCUUGUGGAUCGGGCUCGAGAACCAGGUCCUCAUGAUCUGAAAUGGUUAAAUAAGAAAUGAGCUACACUAGCCCAAUAAGGACAUCACAUUAUAUCACCGUCACAUAAGCAAAUGUUGGUAGAAAACCAAAAACAACCAAUGGAGCACAAAUUUUAAACAAAUUCAUUUAUCAAUAAUCAAAUCAUUUACCGUCCACUUACUGCAGUAAGAUUUAUAAAAACAACCUAUGGAAACAAUAACAUUAUAAAUAUCAUGAAUUGAUAUAUAAUCUGUAACAUAGCACAUAUCAUACUUUUAUAUUCAAAUCAUCAAACAACAAUUGCCCUUUUUUUUUAUAUCAACCUUCUAGUAUCCAUGGGGAUCCAUAGGGGUCCUUACUACAAGUGAACUAUUCCCUUUAAAUAAUUUUAAUUCCAUAGCGAUUCCCAUACCCUGUCCGGUGUGAGUGCCAAAAUAAUAAACCUCAAUACCCCGUCUGGUAUGAGGGUGAAGUGGGCCAUCCUCAUACCCCGUCUGGUAUGAGCGCCAAAUGACCAAGUUUCCAUACCCCGUCCGGUAUGAGACAACGUUCACGGUAGGGUUCCCUAUGAAUCUGGUCCAUCCACCAUCUCCUAAGAUAUCUAGUGAGGCUGUCAUCUUAUCCAUUUAUCAAAUCACAUUCCAUUCCUAUUUCUCCUUAGUCUUCGUUACCAACUCAAACAUAAAUAUAUAAACAAGUAACUUGAUUUGACGCUGAAAACUAGAUUAUCACUGCGCCUACGGGCGGAUCCUGGGUUCCCUGAAUUUUUUUCUUGGGAAUUGAAACGCGCUUAUGGUAUCUACACAUAUCCCAAAUAACCUAAAAAUAAGACCCAGGGUCUACUCGGUCAAUUUUAGAAUCCCGCUGUGCUCUAGCAGCGAUCCACAUCAGGUUGGCUGUUUUUGGCUCUUUCUAGCCGAAUUCAGCCAAACUUGCAUCGGUUCCUGUGAGAAAACACACUUAGGGCCUUCGGUGGGCCGAAAAAAUGUGAAAAACUGAAACUCACUGGCGGUGGGACUCUCCAGUGCGGCGGCUCCUUCGGCUUACGUCGUGAUUGGGUAUUUUGCUCCGGUCAACCUGUAGAGGAAGAAACGGUGAUCACAACGGUGGUAAAAUUACAUUGAACGGGAAUCGGGAAGGGUCUCAUCGGAGGUAAAAAUCGAGACACCCUACGACAGCGUCGCUGAGCUUCAACGACAUUUUCCGACCAAUUGGCCAGUGCUUUCGCUCCAAUUUGACCAUAGGUGGGUUUAGAAUCAAAUUCUGAGCAAAAGGUAGAAUUUUUACCUCGUUUGGCGGCCGAAAAUUGCUCCGGUACGGCGGCAGGUGGCGGCGGUUGGCUCCCCAGCGGCUGGGCUGUCUUCUCCGGCGAGGGGCUCUGGCGGCUAGGGUUAAGAUUUGGAUUUGGGCAGUUGAGGUUAUUUAUACACAUCCGCUUUUGAUCUGAGUCGUCCAUCGCUUUUAAUCUGGACCGUCCGAUCGCGAUUAAAUAGGGAAUGAAUUUGGGCCGCUCAUCGCGAUUCAAUCUGAGCCGUCCGUGCGCGAUUCAAUCUGGGCCGUCUGUGCGCACGGGAACGGAUCUCAUCCAUUCGAUCGCACGCAUGCGGAUCGCCUACAUGGCUCCCUCCCGUGUGGUCUCCCGCGUCAACAUUUCUGCCACCUGGCGCAUCCUGGUUUGUCGGGGCUGCUGACCGGGCAGCUGACGUGACACAACAUUUCUAAAUUACGUUUUGACCCAAAUUUCUGAUUUUUCUUUCAAAAAUACUCAUAGAACCCAAAUUUUCACCCAUUUUUUCAAAAUUAUUUUCAAUUAAAUCCCUAAAUAAUUUUUACCCAUUAUUAUUAUUAUUAUUAUUUUCAUUAAAUUAAAUUAAAUUCUAUUAAUACUUAAUUAUAUUUAUAUAGAAUAAAUUAAAUUAAAAUAAUAAUAAUAAAAUAAAAAAGAAAUAGUUGGGUGUUACACACAUGAAAAAUAUACAUAAGCAAUGUAUAUAUAUAUAUUUACAUAUAUAGUUUUUGUUUCCUUCCUACAUUUAUAUCAAAUUCAUUCAAAUAAAUAUAUUUUUACAUAUUCAUUAUAAUUUAUAUAUGUAUAUCUCAUAUGCAUAAUAUGCAUUCCUAUACAUACACUAUAUAUAUAUAUAUAUACAUAUAAAUAUAUAUAACUUAAUUUUUAUCACCCUCUCAUUAUACCAAGCUACUCUCACCAUCUCUCUAUUUAAGUUCAAAUUUUUCAUUUAAAAUCAAAAAAACUUAAAAUGUAUUUAUUUUAAACAUCAUGCAAAACUAUUUAGAAAGAGAAUAAUGAAAGAAAAAAAAAAGAACUCACAUUUGGAUAAUUUGAAAGAAGAACCUACGUGAGAGGGGCGGUCACACAGUAGUUACGCUUCCCGCGGUGUCCCAGCUCAACCUUCUUCUUCCCUCCGCCACGCCGAUUGUGCCAAUGCUUCUUCACUCUCUUCUUCCCGUCACUUCUCUCCCUCUCCUCCUCAUUCUUCUUUUCUUAUCUUUUUUUUUUUAUUUGGUAGAUUGAAAGAGAGGAAAAAAUGUUUUGUUUGGUAUUUAUAUGAUGGGAGAAGGGAUAAGGAUGAUGAGGUGACAACCCAGGAGAGGGACGAAAUCUUCCCAUCCAUGCGAAUGGUGGCCACCGCUAUACCAUUUCCAAAUCUUUCCAUGUUUC